This 2905-nucleotide ribosomal RNA is filed under the name Klebsiella oxytoca. Its description in RNAcentral is "bacterial LSU rRNA". It matches the Rfam family "Bacterial large subunit ribosomal RNA". Lineage: Bacteria; Pseudomonadati; Pseudomonadota; Gammaproteobacteria; Enterobacterales; Enterobacteriaceae. The record is from RNAcentral.
UUAAGCGACUAAGCGUACACGGUGGAUGCCCUGGCAGUCAGAGGCGAUGAAGGACGUGCUAAUCUGCGAAAAGCGUCGGUAAGGUGAUAUGAACCGUUACAGCCGGCGAUGUCCGAAUGGGGAAACCCAGUGCAAUUCGUUGCACUAUCGUUUGAUGAAUACAUAGUCAAACGAGGCGAACCGGGGGAACUGAAACAUCUAAGUACCCCGAGGAAAAGAAAUCAACCGAGAUUCCCCCAGUAGCGGCGAGCGAACGGGGAGCAGCCCGGAGUCUGAAUCAGCUUGUGUGUUAGUGGAAGCGUCUGGAAAGUCGCAGGGUACAGGGUGAUACUCCCGUACACUAAAACACACAGGCUGUGAACUCGAAGAGUAGGGCGGGACACGUGGUAUCCUGUCUGAAUAUGGGGGGACCAUCCUCCAAGGCUAAAUACUCCUGACUGACCGAUAGUGAACCAGUACCGUGAGGGAAAGGCGAAAAGAACCCCGGCGAGGGGAGUGAAAAAGAACCUGAAACCGUGUACGUACAAGCAGUAGGAGCCCACUUGUUGGGUGACUGCGUACCUUUUGUAUAAUGGGUCAGCGACUUAUAUUCUGUAGCAAGGUUAACCGUAUAGGGGAGCCGCAGGGAAACCGAGUCUUAACUGGGCGUUAAGUUGCAGGGUAUAGACCCGAAACCCGGUGAUCUAGCCAUGGGCAGGUUGAAGGUUGGGUAACACUAACUGGAGGACCGAACCGACUAAUGUUGAAAAAUUAGCGGAUGACUUGUGGCUGGGGGUGAAAGGCCAAUCAAACCGGGAGAUAGCUGGUUCUCCCCGAAAGCUAUUUAGGUAGCGCCUCGUGAACUCAUCUUCGGGGGUAGAGCACUGUUUCGGCUAGGGGGUCAUCCCGACUUACCAACCCGAUGCAAACUACGAAUACCGAAGAAUGUUAUCACGGGAGACACACGGCGGGUGCUAACGUCCGUCGUGAAGAGGGAAACAACCCAGACCGCCAGCUAAGGUCCCAAAGUCAUGGUUAAGUGGGAAACGAUGUGGGAAGGCCCAGACAGCCAGGAUGUUGGCUUAGAAGCAGCCAUCAUUUAAAGAAAGCGUAAUAGCUCACUGGUCGAGUCGGCCUGCGCGGAAGAUGUAACGGGGCUAAACCAUGCACCGAAGCUGCGGCAGCGACGCUUAUGCGUUGUUGGGUAGGGGAGCGUUCUGUAAGCCGUUGAAGGUGGCCUGUGAGGGUUGCUGGAGGUAUCAGAAGUGCGAAUGCUGACAUAAGUAACGAUAAUGCGGGUGAAAAACCCGCACGCCGGAAGACCAAGGGUUCCUGUCCAACGUUAAUCGGGGCAGGGUGAGUCGACCCCUAAGGCGAGGCCGAAAGGCGUAGUCGAUGGGAAACAGGUUAAUAUUCCUGUACUUGGUGUUACUGCGAAGGGGGGACGGAGAAGGCUAUGUUGGCCGGGCGACGGUUGUCCCGGUUUAAGCGUGUAGGUGUGUGUUCCAGGUAAAUCCGGUUCACUUUAACACUGAGGCGUGAUGACGAGGCACUACGGUGCUGAAGUGACAAAUGCCCUGCUUCCAGGAAAAGCCUCUAAGCAUCAGGUAACAUCAAAUCGUACCCCAAACCGACACAGGUGGUCAGGUAGAGAAUACCAAGGCGCUUGAGAGAACUCGGGUGAAGGAACUAGGCAAAAUGGUGCCGUAACUUCGGGAGAAGGCACGCUGAUAUGUAGGUGAAGUGGUUUACCCAUGGAGCUGAAAUCAGUCGAAGAUACCAGCUGGCUGCAACUGUUUAUUAAAAACACAGCACUGUGCAAACACGAAAGUGGACGUAUACGGUGUGACGCCUGCCCGGUGCCGGAAGGUUAAUUGAUGGGGUUAUCCGUAAGGAGAAGCUCUUGAUCGAAGCCCCGGUAAACGGCGGCCGUAACUAUAACGGUCCUAAGGUAGCGAAAUUCCUUGUCGGGUAAGUUCCGACCUGCACGAAUGGCGUAAUGAUGGCCAGGCUGUCUCCACCCGAGACUCAGUGAAAUUGAACUCGCUGUGAAGAUGCAGUGUACCCGCGGCAAGACGGAAAGACCCCGUGAACCUUUACUAUAGCUUGACACUGAACACUGGUCCUUGAUGUGUAGGAUAGGUGGGAGGCUUUGAAGUGUGGACGCCAGUCUGCAUGGAGCCAUCCUUGAAAUACCACCCUUUAAUGGCUGGUGUUCUAACGUGGGCCCGUAAUCCGGGUUGCGGACAGUGUCUGGUGGGUAGUUUGACUGGGGCGGUCUCCUCCUAAAGAGUAACGGAGGAGCACGAAGGUCAGCUAAUCCUGGUCGGACAUCAGGAGGUUAGUGCAAUGGCAUAAGCUGGCUUGACUGCGAGCGUGACGGCGCGAGCAGGUGCGAAAGCAGGUCAUAGUGAUCCGGUGGUUCUGAAUGGAAGGGCCAUCGCUCAACGGAUAAAAGGUACUCCGGGGAUAACAGGCUGAUACCGCCCAAGAGUUCAUAUCGACGGCGGUGUUUGGCACCUCGAUGUCGGCUCAUCACAUCCUGGGGCUGAAGUAGGUCCCAAGGGUAUGGCUGUUCGCCAUUUAAAGUGGUACGCGAGCUGGGUUUAGAACGUCGUGAGACAGUUCGGUCCCUAUCUGCCGUGGGCGCUGGAGAAUUGAGGGGGGCUGCUCCUAGUACGAGAGGACCGGAGUGGACGCAUCACUGGUGUUCGGGUUGUCAUGCCAAUGGCAUUGCCCGGUAGCUAAAUGCGGAAGAGAUAAGUGCUGAAAGCAUCUAAGUACGAAACUUGCCCCGAGAUGAGUUCUCCCUGACUCCUUGAGAGUCCUGAAGGAACGUUGAAGACGACGACGUUGAUAGGCCGGGUGUGUAAGCGCAGCGAUGCGUUGAGCUAACCGGUACUAAUGAACCGUGAGGCUUAACCUU